UGCAUUUUCUCUCUCUUCAGUUCAAGCUAAAUGCAAAGGUGGACAAACGGCAUACGAUAAACUCUGCUCAGCCCAAUAUGGCUGCAUUGCUACUGCAGAAUAGCUCAAUGGUAUCUUCUGAACAGACCCCAGACGGCGGAAUAACAAAUGGAUAUGCAGAAGGAUUAGUCAAUCUGAAGACCCUAUAAACGGGAUUUGAAUGAACCAGUGGAUGUUUUAAUUGGAGGCUUAACCUAGGAUGGCUUGAGAAUUAACCACGGAACAUUCUGAAGGUCUCGUACCAACUGAAAUGGCAGGGGUGAUGACCCAAUCACCUUGUGAUUGAACAGCCGGUAUGGAGGUACAAGUGUGCCUUAACACUUAAGAUGAAAUGGCCCAAUCUAGGUCCCUUGAUGGGAAUGUCAAUCUGUCUUAUGAAUGGCAUUGACCAACUACACUUCAACAUUGAUAUACCCGUAAUACGGGUUUUAAGGUCUUGUGAAAAAUGAUUGAGGCCUGCCAUACAUCAUAACAUCCAAUCACAUUGACGUGGGAAUUCUACUAACGAGCUGCUGCUCGAAAAAUGGAUAAGGCCUACAUCCUAAUGAGUGAAGCUAAAUAAAACCAUAUUAUUUGUGCCUUGGUAUAAGCUCAUCACAUCCCAUGAGCCAGGUUGAGUGAAACAAUCCUCACUUGUAAAACCCUUUUUACUGCAAUAAAGAUGAAUUAACCCUG
Molecule: long non-coding RNA, 714 nt
Organism: Oncorhynchus gorbuscha (pink salmon)
Lineage: Eukaryota; Metazoa; Chordata; Actinopteri; Salmoniformes; Salmonidae
Exons: 9
Source: RefSeq, a predicted model, not a curated record